GUGGGAGGGGGCUUGCCCCCGAUAGCGAUGGGUCAGCCACCUGAUUUAUCAACUGACAGACUGCUAUCGGGGGCAAGCCCCCUCCCAC
Molecule: unclassified non-coding RNA, 88 nt
Filed under: Pseudomonas azotoformans
Lineage: Bacteria; Pseudomonadati; Pseudomonadota; Gammaproteobacteria; Pseudomonadales; Pseudomonadaceae
Also listed under: 1 other name
Source: RNAcentral